RNAcentral lists this unclassified non-coding RNA (339 nucleotides) under soil metagenome. RNAcentral's name for it is "partial contains 5.8S ribosomal RNA, internal transcribed spacer 2, and large subunit ribosomal RNA". The stretch from base 1 to 120 matches the Rfam family "5.8S ribosomal RNA", at positions 35 to 154 of the family's 154-position model. The record is from RNAcentral.
GAUGAAGAACGUAGCGAAAUGCGAUAAGUAAUGUGAAUUGCAGAAUUCCGUGAAUCAUCGAAUCUUUGAACGCACAUUGCGCCCCCUGGUAUUCCGGGGGACAUGCCUGUCCGAGCGUCAUUGCAACCCUCAAGCGCGGCUUGUGUGUUGGGCUUCGUCCCCCCGUGGACGUGCCCGAAAGGCAGUGGCGGCGUCCCGAAUGGUGCCCGAGCGUAUGGGAACUCUCUUCCGCUCGAACCGGCCCAUUCGGCGCUGGUCGAACCCCAAUUUUUUUUUACCGGUUGACCUCGGAUCAGGUAGGGAUACCCGCUGAACUUAAGAAUAUCAAUAAGCGGAGGA